This 563-nucleotide long non-coding RNA is filed under the name Rattus norvegicus (Norway rat). RNAcentral describes it as "long non-coding RNA NONRATT002405". Lineage: Eukaryota; Metazoa; Chordata; Mammalia; Rodentia; Muridae. The record is from RNAcentral.
CUGGUGUGGGAUUAAAUUGUGCGCACACUACGCCACCUGAGCAGUGACAGGAAAUCAGAAGCCUCUCGCUGGUGACAGUCCCCCACAGUCCUUAAGAAACAGCAGACAGCCGCAAUGAAGCUUCUAGCCUCUCCCUUCCUUCUGUUGCUGACAGGGAUGUUCACGGCCACGGUCUCCAGCAGCCCGAAUCAAGGACGCCAAAAGCACCACAGGAAGUCACAAAGGCCCUCCAGAACCUGCCAGCAAUUUCUCAAGCGAUGUCAACUAGCAAGCUUCACCCUGCCCUUAUAGUUCCGAGACUCUGCCCUCCAGCUAGGCUCUCUCAACGAGAGGGAGAUGAUCAUCCCUGGAGCGCUUCUUAUCCCCCCACCCCCAUCCUCACCAAGAGCACCCCAGCGCUCUCGAAGGCACGGCCCAGCUGUGUACCUGCCACUGUGUCCUCUGCACUUGUCACUCUUCUUACAUGCCUUCUGUCCGGGGUCUAAAAGGCAGGUGAAGCACUGAAUCAGAGACUGCCUGGUUAGAAGCAAUAAAGGUUUAGAAAUUGUGGUUUCUUAGCAUCU